Cavia porcellus (domestic guinea pig) is the source of this 668-nucleotide long non-coding RNA. RefSeq lists it as uncharacterized. The record is from RefSeq and is a predicted model, not a curated record. NCBI's taxonomy places the organism in Eukaryota, Metazoa, Chordata, Mammalia, Rodentia, Caviidae. The transcript has 2 exons.
AGCUGGGCAUAUAAAAGGUAGACCUGGCUCUAACACCUCAUCUGUUCCAACUCCCUCAACAAGUCUGUGGUCCUGUGUGUGUGACCCAGGUUGGAAAAGUCACAACAAGAUGUCCUGCCAGCAAAACCAGCAGCAGUGCCAGCCACCUCCCAAGUGUCCACCCAAGUGCACUCCAAAAUGCCCACCAAAGUGCCCUCCAAAGUGCCCACCCCAAUGCCCAGUGCCAUGCCCUCCUCUGGUGUCUUCCUGCUGUGGCUCCAACUCGGGGCACUGCUGUGGCUCAAGCUCUGGGGAUGGUGGCUGCUGCCUGAGCCACCACAGGCCCAGUCUCUUCCACCACCGCCAUAGACACCAGGCUCCUGACUGCUGUGAGUGUGAGCCCAGUGGGGGCUCUGGCUGCUGCCAUGGCUCUGGGGGCUGCUGCUGAGCUGGCCCAGGAAGAGCUCUUGAAGGGAUCCAGUAGUCUAGUGCGGGACGCAGCCUGAUGCAUCAACUUUUCCAUUCCCUGGCUUUAAAUCAUGGAUCAGUAGGGAUCCUGAAGACUCCCAGAGAUUCCUGUGAAGAACCUUGUAGUUAACUGUGGGCUCUAUAUGCUCAGCCACCAUCUCUGUCUGUGGUUCUUGCUUUAUUUUCUCUUUUAAUAAAACUCUGAUUUUCUGUCCCCAAAA